UGCUAAUCUGCGAUAAGCGCCGGUAAGGUGAUAUGAACCGUUAUAACCGGCGAUACCCGAAUGGGGAAACCCAGUGUGACUCGUCACACUAUCAUUAACUGAAUCCAUAGGUUAAUGAGGCGAACCGGGGGAACUGAAACAUCUAAGUACCCCGAGGAAAAGAAAUCAACCGAGAUUCCCCCAGUAGCGGCGAGCGAACGGGGAGGAGCCCAGAGCCUGAAUCAGCAUGUGUGUUAGUGGAAGCGUCUGGAAAGGCGCGCGAUACAGGGUGACAGCCCCGUACACAAAAGCGCAUGUGCUGUGAGCUCGAUGAGUAGGGCGGGACACGUGGUAUCCUGUCUGAAUAUGGGGGGACCAUCCUCCAAGGCUAAAUACUCCUGACUGACCGAUAGUGAACCAGUACCGUGAGGGAAAGGCGAAAAGAACCCCGGCGAGGGGAGUGAAAAAGAACCUGAAACCGUGU
RNAcentral lists this ribosomal RNA (463 nucleotides) under Salmonella enterica subsp. enterica serovar Rubislaw. RNAcentral's name for it is "partial 23S ribosomal RNA". It matches the Rfam family "Bacterial large subunit ribosomal RNA", at positions 59 to 561 of the family's 2925-position model. RNAcentral also lists the same sequence under 1 other name. Lineage: Bacteria; Pseudomonadati; Pseudomonadota; Gammaproteobacteria; Enterobacterales; Enterobacteriaceae. The record is from RNAcentral.